CUAGCCCCGAUUGCAAUGGAAAUCCUUUUUUGGUGGCUGAGGCAACCGAAGCCGCCAAAAAAGAUUGCAAUGGAAAGCGGGAAAAAG
RNAcentral lists this small RNA (87 nucleotides) under uncultured Kaistella sp. RNAcentral's name for it is "Flavo-1 RNA". It matches the Rfam family "Flavo-1 RNA". The record is from RNAcentral. Lineage: Bacteria; Pseudomonadati; Bacteroidota; Flavobacteriia; Flavobacteriales; Weeksellaceae.